CUUGAAGCUGUACUUAGGAGAGGGUU
RNAcentral lists this non-coding RNA (26 nucleotides) under Cricetulus griseus (Chinese hamster). The record is from RNAcentral. Lineage: Eukaryota; Metazoa; Chordata; Mammalia; Rodentia; Cricetidae.